This is a long non-coding RNA of Cervus elaphus (red deer), 225 nucleotides long. RefSeq lists it as uncharacterized. The transcript is spliced from 3 exons. Lineage: Eukaryota; Metazoa; Chordata; Mammalia; Artiodactyla; Cervidae. The record is from RefSeq and is a predicted model, not a curated record.
UUGCUUCUUUGCAGGAAAGCUAUGACAAACCUAGACAGUAUAUUAAAAAGCAGACACAUUACAUUGCCAACAAAGGUCCGCAUAGUCAAAGCAAUAGUUUUACCAGUAGCCAUGUAUGGAUGUGAGAGUUGGACCAUAAAGAAGGCUGACCACCAAAGAAUUCAUGCUCUUGAACUGUGGCGUUGCAGAAGGCUCUUGAGAAUCCCUUGGAAUGCAAAGAGACCA